This 52-nucleotide small RNA is filed under the name Arabidopsis thaliana (thale cress). RNAcentral describes it as "ATSL195030". Lineage: Eukaryota; Viridiplantae; Streptophyta; Magnoliopsida; Brassicales; Brassicaceae. The record is from RNAcentral.
AAGAAGAAGAGGAAGAAGAAGAAGAGCUUCCAGCUUUUGUAAGCUUAUCACU